GAUGAAGAACGUAGCGAAAUGCGAUAAGUAAUGUGAAUUGCAGAAUUCAGUGAAUCAUCGAAUCUUUGAACGCACAUUGCGCCCGCCAGUAUUCUGGCGGGCAUGCCUGUCUGAGCGUCAUUUCAACCCUCAUGCCCCUAGGGCGUGGUGUUGGGGAUCGGCCAAAGCCCGCGAGGGACGGCCGGCCCCUAAAUCUAGUGGCGGACCCGUCGUGGCCUCCCCUGCGAAGUAGUGAUAUUCCGCAUCGGAGAGCGAUGAGCCCCUGCCGUUAAACCCCCAACUUUCCAAGGUUGACCUCAGAUCAGGUAGGAAUACCCGCUGAACUUAAGCAUAUCAAUAAGCGGAGGA
Molecule: unclassified non-coding RNA, 348 nt
Filed under: soil metagenome
Description: partial contains 5.8S ribosomal RNA, internal transcribed spacer 2, and large subunit ribosomal RNA
Rfam family: 5.8S ribosomal RNA (bases 1-120)
Source: RNAcentral